This 253-nucleotide ribosomal RNA is filed under the name uncultured bacterium. RNAcentral's name for it is "partial 16S ribosomal RNA". It matches the Rfam family "Bacterial small subunit ribosomal RNA", at positions 524 to 776 of the family's 1533-position model. The record is from RNAcentral.
UACGGGGGGAGCAAGCGUCGUUCGGAUUUACUGGGCGUAAAGCGCGUGUAGGCGGCUUGGCAAGUCGGAUGUGAAAGCCCACGGCUCAACCGUGGAAGCGCAUCCGAAACUGCUUCGCUCGAGUCUCGGAGAGGAAGGUGGAAUGCUUGGUGUAGAGGUGAAAUUCGUAGAUAUCAAGCAGAACACCUGCGGCGAAGGCGGCCUUCUGGACGAUGACUGACGCUGAGACGCGAAAGCGUGGGGAGCAAACAGG